GAUGUAGAACGUAGCGAAAUGCGAUACGUAAUGUGAAUUGCAAAUUCAGUGAAUCAUCGAGUCUUUGAACGCACAUUGCGCCCCCUGGUAUUCCGGGGGGCAUGCCUGUCCGAGCGUCAUUGCUGCCCUCAAGCACGGCUUGUGUGUUGGGCCCCGUCCUCCGAUCCCGGGGGACGGGCCCGAAAGGCAGCGGCGGCACCGCGUCCGGUCCUCGAGCGUAUGGGGCUUUGUCACCCGCUCUGUAGGCCCGGCCGGCGCUUGCCGAUCAACCCAAAUUUUUAUCCAGGUUGACCUCGGAUCAGGUAGGGAUACCCGCUGAACUUAAGCAUAUCAAUAAGCGGAGGA
This 345-nucleotide unclassified non-coding RNA is filed under the name soil metagenome. RNAcentral's name for it is "partial contains 5.8S ribosomal RNA, internal transcribed spacer 2, and large subunit ribosomal RNA". The stretch from base 1 to 119 matches the Rfam family "5.8S ribosomal RNA", at positions 35 to 154 of the family's 154-position model. The record is from RNAcentral.